Molecule: long non-coding RNA, 22795 nt
Filed under: Triticum aestivum (bread wheat)
Lineage: Eukaryota; Viridiplantae; Streptophyta; Magnoliopsida; Poales; Poaceae
Description: long non-coding RNA (TAES_LNC010704)
Source: RNAcentral
AGUACAACACCUGUGGUGAAAUUCGAUUGUUCCAAAAUCCAAAUUCGACUGAAGAUAUCCCUUGUGUUUACUGCAACGCGCUAUAAUAUUUGGGCAAAACUAGGUUACAGAGAAUUGUGCUACUAUAUGAACAUCAUUUUGCGUAUGAAUCUGAUACAGUGUAAAGUAUAUGUUGCAUCUACUCCUGCAGACUCACUGUAUAGACAAAUUUCUCUUGAUCGGUAACGCAUUUCUUUCACUUGUUUGUGCCUUGGCAUGGCAUAUUUUCUUUCCAUAUAACUGAAUGCCGCGGAUAGAACUGUUCAGUAUGUCUUAUUAGUUGCUGCAAAUCCGUUUCAAAAAAAGGAAAAUAUUAGUUGCUGCAAACAACUUGCAUUGCUUCUCACAGUGAAGAUCUCUAAUUCUACAGCUAAAACUGAUAGUGAGUCUGAUAGCAAAAACUGCAUCCUCACAUUCUUUAGUGCAGUCAUGUAGCAGUAAUCUAGCAACCUUCUAGGUCAGUCCAUGUAGUAAUCUAGUGCUGAUGCAUUGAGACCAUGAAGUUUCCAGAAUAAUUGCCUGCCUGCUCGUUUGAUAGUGCAUUAUCUUCCGUGUAUGAAAGAACGAAACUGCUACGUAGACGAUGCAUGUGUGCACGACACUAGGACGACGGGCAGUCCAGCCGCUGAUAUGCGCUGGAUAGUAUGCAUGGACGGCUUGAUAUGUGCUGUCGUGCACGAGUCGUCCGCACGGCGUCGUGUGUAUAGCAGCGCUGAUGAAAGAAACAAGCUGAUCCGAUUCCUUUGAUUGAACAGGAUGUUCCUGGGUAGUGUGAGCAACUACUGCAUCAACAGCGUCGGCUGCCCCGUCGUGGUGAUCAAGGGCACCUGACCCAUCCUCGACCCAGCAGACAUUUCUUAUUGUGUUCCACACCAUGAUUCUUGAGGUUGCUACUGUGUUGUACGUACUCCUGUGCAAAUUCACUGCACACUUCCAAGACCGCCGUAUGGCUUGUGUUAUCAUUCAUGUUGUUUGUUAGUGCUUGGUUGGAUGAGGCCGAAGAACUGCUCUGUACAUUCCGUGCAUGGAGAUUGCCAAAUUGGUUCUGGGGUCCGUGGAAAUAAGAAUGCACAGCGUGCACGCUGUUUUGUAAAUUGAUCAUUGUUGUAAGUAUAUCAGCUAAAACAUGGUGCCAUGGGGCACAUGGUUUUGUACAAAACAUUGUACGCGGGGCUUUGUCCGAUCUGAUCUGGUUUGGUUUGGCCACUGCACAUGCAUAUGCUUGUCCCCAUGGCUAUCUUGUUCCUCCCCAGUCCCCACCCACCAGGGCACCGGUCUCCUUCGUUGCUUCCACUCGUUCUCCCCGUACCUUCCUCUUAUCCGCGCCACCUACGUUCCCGCUCGAGAUGGGGGCAGAGCUGCUGCUGCUCGGCGGGAAGGUGUCCGCCGGCGGCGCAGCAGGAUCUGGCGCCGUCGCUGCGUCCUCGGCGGGAGCCGGACGGUGCGUGGCCGGCGGGCGGCGACUCGCGCCGGUGCAGCCGGCGGCGCUGCAAUGGCGGCAUAGUAGUACGUGACCCACCGAAACUUUCAUCUCGCGAUACUUUACCUUGAUUUGCAUCCACUCACGCGAACUGAUCCAUGCUGGUGCACUUCAAUGGCUGCAAAUUCCAGUUUAAGAUGCAUUCAGUUAUACUACCUCCGUCUCAAAUUAUAAGACGUUUUUGGUAGCUACUUAGCCUACUAAACAUGUCUUAUAAUUUGGGACAGAGAAAUAAAAUGGAAUAGGUGUAUCUAGUUGAGGCGGUGUUCUCGGGGCUCCUUUCGUAACAAAUGAUUUUCCUAGGAAUUUUUCCUAUGUAAUAGUUGUUUGAUUCAUAGGAUUGAAUCCAAAUAGGCUUUUUUUCUAAGGAUUUCUUUGUACUACUUUGCAUGAUUUCUAGCAUCCAUUCAAACCUCUUCGAAAAUAUCUUUGUUUUUCCUAUAAUGCAAUCAAACAAGCCAAAAUCCUAUAAGAUUGAGAUAAAGAUGACCUUCCAAUAAUGUGUUUUUCAUAUUCACACGUUUUUAAAAUCCUGCGAAUCAAAGAGGCCCUUAGCGUUUUUGGUUUGUGUAUUUUUCAGUUAGCUAUAUUGUACUUUGGCUUUCCAAACACAAUAACAAAUUUCAUGCCAACUUUCAACAAUAGUUUGUAUACAAAGCUCAUCACAACACGGUUCAACAAUUGCAAUCGGAUCAGUGUUGGUGCCGACAAUAUGGAUGCAAAUUCCAGAGCCUUUAUUUGAUCACAAGAAAAGAAGGGGAAAAAACAAGUGUCCCAAGAUAAAAGAAAAACCAAGUGUCCCAAGAAACCAGAUUGAUAGUUCAAACAACCUGCAUCUCGCCCCAUUGGAUCUAAAUGUAAAACCAUACAACAUUAUAUGAUUUUUGUUAAUUGAGGUGUAUGUUUGACAUGGCUUCUUAUUCCCAACUGUCAUCGCCAAUCAUCUUGCAUUUGCUAAUUUAAAUUUCAAUGCACAAAUGAGUUUUAACUUGUGUUUGGCAUUAUAGUAGAUUAUACACAAUUGUAUCCGCUAAACUACUCCCUCCAUUCCUAAAUAUUUGUCUUUCUAGAGAUUUCAACAAGUGACUACAUACGAAGCAAAAUGAGUGAUUCUACACUCUAAAAUAUGUCUAUAUACAUCCGUAUGCGGUAGUCCAUUUGAAAUAUAUAAAAAGACAAAUAUUUAGGAACAAAGGGAGUAUAAUUUUGUCUGUUCUACUACUCCAAUGCAUAUCAUUUUUUGAACGUGCAACUAUUUAAAAUUGUACAACACAGUUCAAAAUCCACAGACUAUGUAGAGUCUAGAAUAGAUCUCUUAAAGAUAUUCUUAUCAACUAUUGUUGCAACUGCUCACAUCUUAUUGAAUUACCAAAUAAAUCAUAAUUUAGUUGGUAUUCAAUAAUUACUCAUUCAUUCAAUUUACAGCUAAAAUCCAUUGUUGGUACGUAAUCACAUACCCAACAAAAAUGGUAUAUAAAAUCAUGAUGAUUACAUAUAAAUAUAUUUUUUAAGAAACACAAAUGUGUACAUACAUCCAUCCUUAUGAAUACACACACAUUAUCCCUAUAAGCACCUCAAAGACUAAACCGACAGUGUUGAGAUUAACAAAGUCACCAUAGACGCCUCGCUAUCAACGAAAAUGUCGACUCUCACUGAAUGAAUAUUCUGUCUUUAUAAAACACCAAAGCGUCAAAUCUUGGAGCAACUCUAGCAGACCCCGCAUCCUGCCCCGACCUGCAAAAUAACCGUCAAAAUGCAGGUCGGGGCGGAAAAACCAGCCCGAUUAGACCCUACAUUCCGCCCCGGCCCGCAAAAAGUUUUAGGGGGCGCGGCAAAAUCCCGACCCCAACCCGGGAAAACACGUGUUUCCCCCUCGCGGCUGCGGUGCCCUGCAUAUAAGCGGAAGCGGUUGGUUUGGGGGGGGGGGACAUUUCAUCCCGCGCUUUCUCCCACCAACCACCUCUCCUCUCCCCCCGCGCGCCGCCGCCGGCCGCCGCCCAAGAUUCCGGCGGCAGGAGCACGCCGGAAGGCCGCCACACACACGAGGCCUCCCCUUCCUCCCCCCCUGCGUCGGCGGGCCGCCGGAUUUGCAGAUCUGCGGCACUUCAUCGUGGGCCACCGGAUUUGCCUUUUUCCGGCCGCCGGUUGCUGCCCCAGGCGAUGGAGUGGUCGGGGAGCCUCUCCCGCAACCCAGGCAAGGGCGCAUCACCGCAUGCAGGCACGGGUUCGUCCGCCCGCCGCCGCCGAAGGUUUGCAGGCACGGACUUGUCUGGCCGUCCACCGGGCUCGGCGUUCGCGCAACGUCUUUGUGGCCUGCCGAUGCCGCUCAUAGAGCGCGACGACUGCCCGCGCCAAGUGCUGCGGCUCACUUCGGGCACGCCGAAGCACUCCGGAUGGGUGUUCUACAAAUGCGAAAACGACGGGGUACGUGCACUUGCGGUACCUCGUUCCAUAGCUCAUUCUUUAGUUCAAUUGCGGUAGCUCACUUCGAGCUUGCUUGAUGUUUUGUGUAGGACGAUGAAUGCUCAUUGUGGUUUUGGGAAGGCCAAUACAUUGAUUUGUUGAUAGAAAGAAACUUAAUAGAUGUCAGUGCACUCCUUAGUACAAUCGAAGGCAAUGAUGCGGUAGCAUGUGCAACUAGAGGGGAAGCAACGUCUACUUCUUUGAAACCAGAGAUGAAGAAUGAAGAAAGCAAGAUCAAGAAUCCGUAGAUCAACAAUGAGUGCAUGGAGAAGAUAUUGCUUCAACUAGUGGGAGCAGUUAUGGAAGUUGAAAAUCUUCUGAAAUGCAUACUUGUGGUUCUUAUUUUCUUUGAUUUUGCUAUUCUAGCCAAGAUUUGGUGAUAUCUUUUGUAUCUAAUGUUGUUGCAAAAGCAAAGAAAAGCAUUAUGCUAGAUCAAUUUAAGUUGCAAAUCUAAGUUUUGCGGGCCGGGAGGAGAUGCGCCAGAUCAGAACCCGCAGAAGCCGACCCGUAAAAAAACAUAUUCAGCGAAUAUGCUUUUUACGGGUCCAUUAUACAGGGUCUGCAUCUGUGCCAACCCGCUUCAGCUCGCAAAAACGGUUUUGCGUGAACUGCAAACGCAUUUUGCGGGCCGGCGGGAUGCGGGGUCUGCUAGAGUUGCUCUAAGCACAUCAAAAACUAAACCGACAGUGUUGAGAUUGACAAAGUCACCAUAGACGCCUCACUAUCAACGAAAACAUCGACUCUCACUGAAUGAAUAUUCUGUCUUUAUAAAACACCAAAGCGUCAAAUCUUGGAUUUGAUCCUUGAUGGGUUGAUGGUACAGCUACCCUCCUAACCAUACAAUCACAUGUUAGUUUUUUUUUUGCGGGAAUCACAUUUUAAUUCUUGAUCACAUACCUUUUUUUUGCAAAAUGCCUUUUUUGGGACACACGCAUAUAUUGUACUUGAAGGAGAAAAGAUAAGGGCAUGACUUGGUCCUACUCGACUGAGAUUUAACCAAUCUCGGUCAAGUGACAUAGUAUAUAAGACAGAAAAAAAACUGAAAGAAUGUAAUUUUAUGAAUCUCUAUGCAAGAUCAACGGAAUAAAGCAUGGAUUGAGACAGAACAAAGUAUCAGUCGACCGAGACUAAAAGCAAAACUGAAAGAAUAAAGGGGAAACUCUUGGGGCAAAAGCCGUGUGCACGUUGCAAAGUUUUGUGAUAAGAAUAUACCCUGAAAUGUACUAGGCCGCACCAGCACAGAUCAGAAGCCACCACUGCAACGCUGCGCCGCCGCCGAACUGUGGAGAGGAGACGCGGAGGACGGGAAGAUGGGAUUCGAGAAGGAGAUCCUGAAAGCCGGCACCGGCCCCAAGCCCGUCAAGGGCCAGAAGGUCACCGUCCACUGCACCGGCUACGGUACGCCCCUUCCCUCCCCCGAACCCCUCCUCUUUCUUUUCCCUGGAUCCGUCGAGACGAACUUGGGGUUAGCGCUCGAUGCUUCCAGAUCUACCUAAAAGAGUAACCGCGGUGUCGAUUAGGCGUUGGUUUUCACUAGAUGUGAAAUUUUGGCUCUGUAGUUGUCAGCCUAGAUUCAGUUAGUGGUGCCAGUGUACCUUAUCCAGUUCCGGCUACCAUUUCUAGUAGAUUUUGUACUUCAUGUAAUGUGCUGUUUAAGGGCUGGCUAACUUUUGUUUCUUGCCAUGUUGCUCCUGCAGGGAAGGAUGGUGAUCUGUCUAAGAAGUUUUGGAGGUAAAUCAUGACUAGUUUUCUUGUUUUCUCGUGAUUCGCAGGCCAUGGCUUUGCGCCAGCGCUGUGAACGUUGUGAACAAACGCAGCAUUUCUCUUUCCGUGUUUUGUGUAUAAAUCUUUCACCGGGAAGGAUCGUGUUACUAUGCCUUGCAAACCAUAACUCUCGGAUGCAACUUUGCAGAAAAAGUUUUGCAUUUUGGAAAUUUAUCUGAUGGUGUUAUGUUCGUUUUUUCAGUACCAAGGACCCUGGGCAGCAGCCAUUCUCUUUCAACAUUGGUCUGGGUUCAGUGAUCAAAGGUGAUCUCGUUAUCAAAGUGCUAUUCAGUUUAUGCACAAUCAUUUCACCUGUAUGUUAUUGGCUCAUACGUUAUUAGUUCAGUAAUAAUCAAGGGGGUGCUGUUUACUCGGUCAGAAGACUCCACAAAGGAAUAAUUUCGAGAUGUCUCCAUUGUUUUACAACUAAAUAUAGCAUAUUCUCGCUUAAAAUUAGUUUGGAUUGCUGCUGAUGCGUCAAAACACAAGCUCAAUGCUCUUUGAUUUGUGUUGCGGACUUGAGACCAUCGGAGUAUCUACUGAAAAUCAUGAUAUAGCUGCAAACAUGCACUGUUUGCCUUAUCUGUCUAUGUUGUUUACCUCUGUUCGUACCCUCGUUAUAUUUUCUCUUGUUGAAGUUCUCCUAUAAAGUCUUGAUUCAUGCUGCUAACAUCAUAAGACCACCAAGUCAUGUUUCCACUAUUUACUUAUAAAGUAGAGCCUACAUUUUGAUGACUUGUCCAGUAUAAUGCCACACAUGUAAAUUAUGCUACACUAGAUUGUGCAAGUGAACUUUUGGAACUAACGUAACAGUAACUACUUCCUUGCUUACAGGAUGGGAUGAGGGAGUUAUGGGCAUGCAAUUGGGUGAAGUCGCCCGUCUUACGGUAUGUUUCUUGGGACAUGUCCAAUCAGUUUGAUGUGUUUGCAUGCUUGCUUGUGUGUGGCAAUUUCUUCAUUGAUUCAUCUGGCACUUAAUUACUAGUCAAUUUCCAUUGUAUUGGAUUUUUUAAAUGCAUCUCGCCAUGGCAGAAGUGUGUCUAAAACAGCUGAAUUUGGAUUAAUGAGCCUUUCCAGUGCCAUAUCAUAUUCAUGCCUAAUAAGUUGUUUGCCAAAUGAAUCAGUUGCAGUGCACUGCAGAUUAUGCUUAUGGAUCUGAUGUUCUAGUGUUUGUGUUGCAGUGCACCCCAGACUACGCUUACGGUGAAGGUGGCUUUCCAGCCUGGGGAAUUCAACCAAACUCCGUGCUGAUAUUCGAGAUCGAAGUUCUUAGCGCCAAGUGAUGCGCAGUGCGAUUCAUGAUGGAUCUAUAGAACACUGCAGCAUCGCCAUGCCUCUCGAUUGCAAAAAUAAUUGUAACGCCACAUCAUGUUAAGUGCCACAUUGUGGUGAUGUUCCAAGUGCAUCGAGUGAAACUUUUGGAACCCUAUUAUCCUUUUGUGAUCCUGGUACUAAGUUUCUGGGUGCCCUUGUCGCAAAAUUUACGUUGAGGGGGUCAUUACCUGCGAGGGAUCAAGAGAUAGCGGUGGGGUGAUCCUGUUUGAAUCCUCAGCUUCCCUAUGAGCCCAGCCAACAGUUGAAUCGCCUGAGACCAGUUCGUUCGCUCGUUUUUCUCGAGCGCACAUUUUCGUCUCAAUUAUGUAGAAGUUCGUCUAAUUUGCUGUGAAUUUUGUGGGUUUCUGAGUUCCAAUGCCCAGAAAGAUGCUAAAAGGGCCCGCCUAGAUAUCCCAACAAAUUUCAUUACUCACAGAUAAGUCUCAUCACAUUCUGCACAUUAAGGAAAAACACAGUCUAGACGUGACCUGUUUGGAUUUUGACUCUCAGAACUGGCAAAAAUGAUAACUGAUGUUGAAAAACACAUCUGCAGUAACUGAAGCGCAGAUGAAACACCAGGAAUAAAAUAGGAUUUGGCAGAGACUAGAAAGCAAAAUGCACACUCAGAAAAAAGGAGGAAAAGGUAAACAUACAAAGGGGCGGCAAGGAACAAAAUUCAUGAAAUUUUAAUUUUAAAAAUUGACAAGGGCCGCGCGAACACAUACCCCUCUAUCACAAAUUACGACAUCCACUCUCCCACUUGAGGAGAUGGUAGACCAACACACUCACCAAAUGCAAUGUGAGCCAUUGAUCUAGGCCAUGGCCCUUCUUGAUCAGCCAUCGACCCCGUCCAGGUAAGUAUGUUGCAAGGACGCACCUAGAGCUUCUUAUAUAGGUGGCUCCCCUUCCCGUUCUCCCUUCGCUCGGCGAGGUGGUACUAAACUAAACUAGAGCGUCGUGGUCCAGCCGUGGGUGAACGGUCGUGGGCCUCAUUCUGCCUGUGCGAACCUUUCAAACGGGCUGGUCUGGGCUGGGCUGAAAGAUGUGAGUCCACCACAGAUGGAUUGUCAGGCCUCGUGGGCUAAGGUGUGACAACGUUUUUUUCCCUAAGAAAAAAGGCGUGCUUUGUCUUUCCUUCUCUCCCCCUAAAAAAAAGUCUUUCCUUCUUCGAUCCUUCUUCCCCACUCCCACCCGCUCCGAUGGACCCCGCAGCGGCGCCGCCGCCGCCGCCGCUCGCGGUACACCUGGUCACCGGCGACGCGUCCUCGCCGGCGCUAUCCCACCUCCUCCAGUCCCUCGCGGCCGCCCGCAUAGUCGCCUUCGACGCCGAGUGGAAGCCACGCCGGCGUGUUCCUUCCGCCCCCAGCGACGACGCCUCGCCAGCCCCCCCUAAUCCGACGCAGUUGCCGACUGUUACGGUUCUCCAGAUGGCCUGCCGGGGAGAAGACGGGGGCAACGAGGUGUUCGUCGUCGACCUCCUCGCCGUGCCGCUCGCCGACCUGUGGGCGCCGCUGAGGGAGCUGUUUGAGCGGCCCGACGUGCUGAAGCUGGGGUUCCGGUUCAAGCAGGACCUCGUGUACCUCUCCGCCACCUUCACGGCUGCCCUCGGAUGCGACUCUGGAUUCAACAGGGUAGAGUGCCUGUCGUGCAAAUUGUUUUAUUGCUUUCUUGACAAGAUUGUUCACGAUGUUCCGGUAGAAUACCCAGAUCCCUUUCUCUUAGGCAACAUUGUUGUAAGUUGAAUUGGGUUGAAGCUUUGAAGACUUUGUCUGAUGUUUAAUUUAUCAGCUACAUGAUCACUGCUGUCUCUCAGCUGGUUUUGGAACAACGAAUUAUGUGUCAAAGUCCUCCCCAAAACAAAUCUGCCCAGGAUCAUUAUGAGCCAGAUUGAAAUUUCUAAAGUUGCUCCUUGGUACGGGGGAUUUCAAGAAUCAGCCCUAAAACCCCGAAUGGAGGGAGUAAUUCGUUGUUCCAAAACCAGCUGAGAGGCAGCAGUAAGCAUUAAUAUUUUGUGAGUAACACCGCCGUCAUUCGUCUUGCAAGGUGGAGCCUUUCUUGGAUGUCACCAACGUUUAUCACUACCUCAAGGGGCAUGACAUGCAAAAGAAACUUCCAAAGGAGACCAAGAGUUUGGCUUCAAUAUGUGAGGAACUGCUUAAUGUCUCUUUAUCCAAGGUUAGUCUACAUAAGUUCGUUGCCUUCAUGUCGGGGACUUGCAUUUUAACAUGGCAUGGUUGCGUUAAUCGCCAAGUUCAAUUGCCAUAUGAAACCAACUGUUUGGCAAACAUUUGCAGAAUUGCAGGGCAGUAGAGAUUGACGUAACUAUAAACCAGCGGGAAUGUAGGUGUAUAAUAGCCUUGUCAAAUCCAACUAGUUUUGCUUAUUACUAACUUACUUGAUUUAAAGCAGUAUUCCUUACUAUACAGAUCAACAUAUCAGAUUAUAAAUGCCUGUCUCCUUUGGUUUACUUGAAGCCUUGUUCAUAACUUCCAGUUAUAGUAUUCAUACGUGGCUAACCAACUUGUGGUAUCCUCUCUUGGCACCUGUGACCAGACACAUCACAUGAGCAAACCUUGAGCAAGUCUGGCACAAAGGCUCAUAACAAAGUGUCAUAGGGGUGUUGAGCUCAAGCCUGGUCGUAUGCAAGUUUGGUUGCUAGCUUUCAUUUUCCUCACAUAGAUGCAUCUUAAUGUGAGUUCUUUACCUGGGCUCACAUGAUCAGCAUGCAAAUUGAUUUCGAGCUUGUGGUCCAGUUGAACUCGAGUUUAAUAUGGAACCAAAUUGAGCUUCUUGGUCUUCCUGCCCAGCCCAAGCAGACAAAUCAAUCUUAUUUCUCUUCCUUGUUUUCUUCACUACCAAAAAAUACAAUCCUCGCAUUUAUCUGUUACAGCAGCAGUGCCUUUUAGUUCCAAACAAGUUGGGGUAGGCUAAAGUUGAAACCCAUAAGAUCUUGAAACCAAUGCAUUUAUCUGUUAGCAUUAUUAUUUUGGGAUAUUUACAUUUCUACCCCCGACUCGAACCAACUACUCAUAUUUACCCCUAACUUUCAGACCUACCCAGUUUUGCCCCUAUUUCGUUGUGUGGUGUUAUAGAAAUACCCCUGAGCAACAUUUUUGUCAGGCCUUCUCUGCUUUCUAUGCUUCGCAAUGUUCCUCUGUAGCUGCCAGUGCUUUCUAUUCUUUUGUAGCAUUCCUGAAAAUAAUUAUUCUCCCUGAAAACAUAAACACCAAAAUAUAGGAACUGCCAUACAUGGAGAUGCUUGGGAUGCUACAAAAGAACUGAAAGCACUGGCAACUACAGAGGAAUGUUGCAAAGGUUAGAAAGUAGAGAAGACCUGAAGGAAACAUCGCUCAGGGGUAUUUCUAUAACACCACACAACGGAUUAGGGGCAAAACUGAGUAGGUCUGAAAAUUAGGGGUAAAUGUGAGUAGUGGGUUCAAAAUUAGGGGCAGAAAUGGAAUUGUCCCUAUUAUUUUAAGGGUUUACCCAGUUGUUAUCCUUAUUUUUUGCACCAGGAACUCCAAUGUAGCGAUUGGUCAUGCCGACCCUUGAGCGAAGGGCAAAUACAAUAUGCUGCAUCAGAUGCCUACUACUUGCUAUAUAUAUUUGAUUUGUUCCAUCAGAAGGUCAGCAUUGAAGGUACCUUUGUCAUUCUUAACGCAACUGAUUUGAUCAUGGGAAUUUAGUGUUCUUUUCUUUGCAUUUCUUGUACGCAAAUAUUAUUUUCUCAUGAGAGUUUUAAGUGCUUAUCAUUAAUAAGAGCCAAGAAGAUUUAACCACUAACAAUUUUUGCAUUAUUUAUUACUACUGCAGAAAAAUGUUCACCAACGGCUGAAGCUUCAGAUGAACAUUGCUCACAAAGGGCAAGUGAUUGUUCAUCGUCAGGAAAUGACAUUUGCUUUGAUGGGUAUUCGACAUCCAUCAUCACGAAGUACAGCGACAGGAUUUUGUUGACAGAGUCAGAUACAAAAGCCCGUUCCUCAAGACGAAAAGAAAAGCAAAAGCUGUCGAGUGAUGCCAAGUGCAAAGAGAAGUUUGAUUACAAUACUGAAUGGAUGGGUCCCCCUCCAUGGGAUCCUUCCGUUGGUGGAGAUGGAUACCCAAAGUUUCUGUGUGAUGUGAUGGUAACAGUUUUCCUAAUCUCACCAUCUUCGACAAGAGUGUGGAUUUUGUUUGUUUCUUAAAAUACCAUUGUAUAAGAUGAACACGAAGUAUGACAGAUUUUACCACCUUAUAUGUUAGUCAAGUACCCAUUUUGUUCUCUAUUUGUAAAGGCUGCUAGAUUUGAUGUGAACAAAACUCAACAGAUUGAGGGUCUAGCUAAGCACUUGAGAUGUGUUGGAUUAGAUGCUGCCACUCCAUCUUGUAAAAAACCUCAACCAAGGUCUUCCCCUAUACUUUCAAUACUCCUAAUGUAGUUUCUUAUUAAGGGAUUUUUUUGUUAAUUUUUUUUUUAUUUUUUUCUACUCAACUUUAGGGAAUUAUUAGAUCAAAUCUACAAGGAAGGAAGAAUAUUACUAACACGAGAUGCCAAACUCAUAAAGUAUCAGUAUUUGGCGACUAAUCAAGUAUACAGAGUGAAAAGCCUGCUCAAACAUGAUCAACUGGCUGAGGUAUGUGCUUAUUUUGAUAUGUUCCAUCUUCAGGUUGAUCUGUCUGCAUGAACUUCUGGAAAUUAGUGUAAAUUGGCCUUUAUGGAUGAAAACAUUUCUUUCCUUAGUAUUUGCCCACUCCUUUUUAGAUUUUGUGCACAAAGAACAUUUUAAAACCUCAACCACUAAUAUUCAAAAACUAGUCAAAGUGUUUGAAGUUGUUAUUUGCGUAUGAUACUACUAGAUUUGUCAUAAAAAUGCUUUUGUCUCACUGUAUUUUUUAUAACAUUUACUAGCAUGUAAAUACAGAAAUCCUAUGAAAAGCAAAUGCAAAUACAGAAAGUAAUGGUCAAAGCCACAAACGAGCAUACUGGAGACCAUGCCACGUCCAAAAAGACAAGUUAACAAAGGAACCGAUGUAAUAUUGUAAGUGUUGACUUGAAAAAUAAUGUGGAAAUAGAUCAAUGCUCAUGAAACAUCUAGAAGCAAUGACUUGAAGUAAUAAAACCAAAGAUCACUGUUUACAUGUGAUACUCUGGCAGUUGUCACUUCUCUAGCAGUUGUCACUUUUGAUUUAGUCAUUUACUUGUAUCUCUAUCUACUACUCCCUCCGUUCCUAAAUAUUUGUCUUCUUAGAGAUUUCAAAUGGACUACCACAUACAGAUGUAUAUACACAUUUUAGAGUGUACCCAUUUUGCUCCGUAUGUAGUCACUUGUUGAAAUCUCUAGAAAUACAAAUAUUUAGGAACGAAGGGAGUACAUACUUUUAAAACCGAGGCAAAAAAACUCGCAAAAAAAAAGAGAGGGAAAAGCUUUGCCUAUUUCAUUGAUUAACAAGGAGUACAGUAAAAAGAAUUUAAAAAAACGUGUUGCCCUCCAACUCUGCAAACCGCCCUGACAGCCAGACCCCACCGCCGACGCACUCGUCUGGCCUUACAACACCCCUGCAGCUGUUAGUGGACUCUGGUUGCACCCUGCCACUUGAACACAAGUUCUCUGAGCAUCCCGCAGCUACGUAUCCAAGCAGUCCAUGCUGAGAAGUCAGAUGCGACAGUGAUGGAUUGACAAGAAUGUAUUGGGCUCUGCGCUGCCGCCCUUACCCAUGGAGGCAGCGGAAAGGGGAAGGGAUGGUAGGGACCGUAGGGUGAGGAGUGGACGCACCCUUGGCCACUAGCUUUGCCAAGGAGGCGAGAGAGUGAUAGGGGAGCCUGAGACAGAAUCUUUUUCUAGUAUUUAUAUUUGUGCAUUGUGCAAUAAGGGAAGGGCGGAAAGAGAUUCCGAAGCCCGCUGAUUCGUCUGUUUAACUUGCUUGUUGCAGGUGAUUGACACCUUCCAGUUAAAGAUCUCUGAGGACCGAUUAAUGUCAAGAUGUACAAAGUGCAACGGAAGUUUCAUUCAGAAACCAUUAACGCUCGAGGAAGCCAUAGAAGCCUCCAAAGGUUUUCAGGUCAUCCCCUCAUGCCUCUUCAACCGAAAUAUGGAGUUCUGGAAGUGCACUGACUGCAACCAACUCUACUGGGAGGUACUAACUUUGUCCUAUGUUCCAGUUUCCACCUCUGAAGUAGUACUUGCUAGUAUCGGCGCUGCCUCCUGUAUCCAACCACCUCUUUUACAAUUUCCGCAGGGAACUCAGUACCACAACGCAGUUCAAAAAUUCAUGUCAGUCUGCAACAUUAGUGAGUGAGCAUUGUAACAUUUCAUUCUCAAGACGCUCAUGUUGUUUUGUAUGUGAAAUUCAACAUGUAGUAGGAAACUGCUCUUUCAAUAAUGUCACCAUCUAUGCCUUCGGACAAAUCCCAGUCGCAAUUUUACUUUAUGAUGUACAGUCUACAGUAUUUCAUAUGGUAGUAACACAUAUGCAAAUCAUAUGGUAGUAACAUAUAUACAUUGAUUACCGACAACUGCCUCGUUUGCAUCGUUCUGCUUCGAUGAAGUUUUAUUGUUCUUGCAGUGUUCCUCAGAUAUCUGCAUUGAUUCCGAAAAGACGGACCUUGUGCAUGUUUUAUUUGUUCGUCAGCUUAGCUACAAAAGCAUUUGACUGAUUGUGAUCGGUCAAGUGUGAUGCAAUCAGACACAUACAAUGGAAGCAUAUUUAGAAUUUUCCACUCAAAAUACUACAACAAGAAUAACAAAGCCUGUGCCGAACAAGUUGAGGUAGGCUAGAGUUGAAACCCAUAGUUAUCGAAAUCAAGUCAUGGUUCUGGCACUAGGAUAACUAACUUCCACGCACCCCUCUCCAUGGUUAAAUCUUAAGUGAUAUUCUUGUCCUUAAGAUCUCUCUUUACGGACUUCUUUCAUGUCAAGUUUGGUCCAUCCCGACCUCUCUUGACAUUAUCAACACGCCUACCCAUCCGCUAUGACGCUUCUGGAGGCCUGUGUUGUAUAUGCCCAAAUCAUCUCAGACGAUGUUGGACAAGCCUCUCUUCAAUUGGUGUCACCCCAAUUCUAUCAAGUAUAUCAUCAUCAUGGACCCAAUCCUUUCUUGUGUGGGCACAUAUCCAUCUCAACAUGUUCAUCUCUGCUACACCUAGCUGUUGGACACGUUGUCAUUUAGUUGGCCAACAUUCAAUGUCAUACAACAUUGCAGGUCGAAUCGCGGUCCUAUAAAACCUACAUUUUUUUACUUUCGUGGCACUCUCUUAUCAUAGAGAACGCCAGAAGCUUGAUGCCACUUCAUCCAUCCAAAAUUGAUUCGAUGGCUCACAUCUUCAUCGAUGUCAUCAUCCUUCUGCAUCAUUGACUGCAAAUAUCGAAAGGUGUCCUUCCGAGGUACCCAUCAAGGUACCCAUCCUUCUGCCCAUCCUUCUGCCCAUCAAGGCAAACUUCCUCCUCUUCAUUAUAGGAUCAAAUAUCGACCAGAAGGGUGGAGAGGGGUGGUGUUAAAUUGGGGAUACAAUAAUUUCUUUGAAAAACAAUUUUUCCAAAGAAAAACAGAGUACACAAAGAGAUAACAAAACUGUAUAGAGAGAAAAUUACACAGAACUGGAAUAACUGAGAGGAGCAACAAGCUAGCUAGGGGAAUGGCUAAGUAGCAGUACAGAUAGCAAUGUCACUGACAAUUGUACGCCUGUGUUAAUAAAAAAAAGUUUGCUCGCCAAUUAAGAUUCCUAUUCAUAGCCUAUAUUUUUGUGUGUGCUAAAGUCAGUCCAUUUUGUUGCCAUGCUAAUCAUGCCAUCUGCACCACCAGAGAGGCAGAGAAUAAGCAGCAUUGGCAAUUGGUGAGUUUCUGUUCACUUUAUUUUUGUUGUCUCGCCAAUCAUGUAAUACAUGUAUUUUGUUCCUUUUCUCUCGAGGACUAAAAUAUUUUACAUAAUUUUACUGUGUCACAUAAUGCACCUGUUUUACAGUAUGUAAAUUUGCAGUUAAGCAAUGGUUGUUUUCUCACUUAGAUAUUGUAAGCUACAUCGGCUGCGUUAUACAACAAAAUCAUAGUGAAUGCACAAGGGUCAGGAAUCACAGUGAAAGAAGUUCAAGUGGAAGAUAUUCAACCACUUGUUCAGUAAGGAACUUGCAUAUUACCUCUUGCAAAAACACUACUGGAAUACUACAAUGGUUUAAAAAUGCACUAAGUGUCGAUUGCAUUUAUUGGAGAUAAACCUGCAUUUUUUAUGCCUGGCCUCAGAAAGUGUCCCCAACAACUAUAUUGCUAGAUUUUGCCGGAAAUCAGCUGUAUUGCUAUUCAUUACAACAAACGGAGAGGUAAUCAUCCCUACCAUGCUUAUGCAUCCCAUAGUUCAUCGAAUGUAUCUACAACAUGUUGUCUUCACACUGAAGUGGAAGAUUCAUAAUGGAUGAGCAUCUGGUAGAUCUCCUGCAUUGUUGGCCUUGCUUGAGGGGAAGCUUUCAAGCAAGAAAAUACUACCCUGAUUUGGAAAACUAUGUUUUUCUCUUCUAUUGUUGUUGGUGCUAAAGGCCGUUGGUCCAAGAUUUCUUUGACUAGAGUAUAUGGCUCUGUUGAUGAGGCAAGAUGUUGGAGUAGAUCUCUUGGAUGCUUCCCUAUCAACACCUCUAGCACAAGCACACCAAAGCUGUACACAUCACAUUUCUCUGUCACAACAGAAGUGUAGGACAACUCUGCACCAAAGACAAGGAUCAGCAUUAGAAGUCAAUGGAUACAUACAAUUAUUAUGCUACAAGAAAGUGUAAACAAGAAGCUAUGGAACCAUAAAAGCGGAUAAAGGAAGAGAUAGAAAUAGUUUUAUGUCAAAGGGAGGCAUAUCUGUACCAGGAGCAAUGUAGCCAUAUGUCCCUGCUAGUGCACUCCAGUUUGAUGUAUCAGGCUUCAAAAUCCUUGCUGUACCAAAAUCUGAGACAUAAGCCUUAUAAUUUGUAUCAAGCAGGAUGUUGUUGCUUGUGAUAUCUCGAUGAAUUAUAGGAGGACUACAGUCAUUCUGCAAAUAUGAUAUUGCCUGGGCAACAUCAUUUAUAAGGGCAGUUCUCUUAUGCCAAUCCAAUCCCUUGGCUAAUUCCUCAUCUUGUAAAAUCGUGUGGAGACUUCCACGCUGAAUGUAAUCAUAGACAAGAAACUUGUACGUUGGAUGGGAGCAAAAUCCAUAGAGUUUGACAAUGCUUCUUUGUCGAAUCUGUGUUAAGAUUUCCAUUUCACUGUGAAAUCCUCUCUCAUCAAUCAACUCUUCUUCUGUUGGAUGGAAUUUCUUUACAGCAACUAGCUGCCCGUCUUCGAGUUGUGCCUUGUAGACUUUUCCAUGUCCUCCUGCUCCAAGGAUGUACUUGUCAUCAAAAUUUUCUGUUGCCCUGAUAAUAUCAUCAAAUGCUAGUCGUCCAUCAAAAUUCCAAACAGAGAACAUGUUCCUCCCCUCAUCUGUAGCACCACUUUGUUGUUUCUUUUUCUUGCUACGUAUAAGAAUUGCAAUGAUAACAAUUGCAGCAAUGGUGGAAAACCCCACAACAAGAACAAUUGGCAGGAGGAAACUUUGUAUCUUUUGUUUAUGGCGACCAGAUGCUGGAGUUGAGUAACAAGGUAGCAGUCCAGAGAAGUUACCGCACAGAGCUUUAUUGUGAAGAAACCAAUUUAUUGAAGCAUUUUGAAGUGCAUGUCCUAUUGGGAGUGGUCCUUCCAAGUCGUUGUAGGACACAUCAAGCGUCGAUAGGCUCACCAUGCUUGCGAAGGAGGACGGAAUGCUUCCACUGAACUGGUUAUGGGAUAAAUUAAGAAAUUCCAGCAUCUCCAACUUUCCAAGUUCUUUUGGCAAGACACCUUCAAGUUUGUUAUUGCUGGCAUCUAACAUCAUCUGUAGGCUUGCUAAAUUUCCAAUUGCACCAGGCAAUUUUCCAGUGAAGUUGUUGGUGUUGAUCUUCAAGAACAAUAGUUCUAUGCAGCUUCCCAAUUCCUCUGGUAUUGAUCCACUCAAACUGUUUUCAGAUAGGUCAAGGUGUCCUAAAUUUCUCAACUUCCCCAACUGCAAAGGUACAGGGCCUGAUAACUGAUUGAGUGACAGAUUCAAGAUAUAAAGAUUUUUCAAAUCUCCAAACUCUGGUGGAAUCCAACCAGUUAUGUGGUUAGAAUCGAGUGUUAGGUCUACCAAAUUGGAUAAUUUUGAUAGGGUGGGAGGUAUUUGACCAGUAAUCAUGUUUUGUCCUAGCUUGAAUUCCUUUAGUUGGGGGCAGUCUCCCCACUUUGGUGCAAUGCUCCCAGAGAGUCUAUUGGAUGUCAACCAUAUGUGCCUAAGUUGUGGGUAAACUCCAAAAUGGUGAGAUAUAUCUCCUGUCAGUUGGUUUCCGUCAAGGUGAAGUCCAGUCAAACUUGUACAGGUCUUUAAGCUCCAUGGAACUGAGCCAUUGAACAUAUUCAGAGACAUUACAAAAGCUGUGAGACUGCCGCCGGUACAUAUAUUCAUAGGCAAAGGUCCAGAAAGGGAGUUAUCAGCCAGAUUAAGGCCGACUAUGUUCUUGAGAUCUCCAAAUCCCUGAGGAAGAGAUCCCGUUAAUUUGUUAUCAUUCAUGUUCAGACGUUGGAUGUUUUGUAGGUUUCCAAAUGUUUUGGGUAUUGAGCCAGAAAUUUUAUUCUCGUCCAAGAACAAUGUUCGGAGGUUCACCAAAUUGCCAAUUUCCUGUGGGAUGGUGCCUGUUAUCUGAUUUCUAAAAAGGGACAAUAUUAAUAAAUUAGUAAGGUUUCCUAAGCUGGCAGGAAUAGAGCCAGCGAUUUGGUUGGCUGAUAGGUCCAAAUUCGAGAGAUUUAUCAGGAUGCCUAGUUCUGGGGGUAUAGAACCCGUUAGUCGAUUUUUAUAGACACGAAGUAUGUUCAGCUGAGUGAGGUUGCCUACUUCUGGAGGUAUCGUUCCUGUUAUUUGAUUUUGGUAGAGAUCAAGUUUGUUUAACAUGACUAGCCUUCCUAUUUCAGCGGGGAUGGAACCUGUGAUUUGAUUUUUGACGAGAGAGAGUUCAUUUAACAUAGUUAGAUUGGAUAUGGAGAAAGGGAUUUGAGCGGUUAGUUUAUUUUCAUCAAGUUGAAGGAAUUGCAGCUUGGCUAGCUUGCCUAGCUCAUGGGGUAUCGGCCCCGACAGUUUGUUACCGUACAGUAACAGAACAUUUAGCUGGGUCAGGUUUGCAAGAGUUGCGGGUAUGUUACCACUUAAGGCGCUGUUGCUUAGCUGUAAACCCUGCAGGCUGACAAGCCUCUCUAACUCGUUCGGAAUGGGACCUGAGACCAUGGUUUGGUGGAUAACAAGGUAAAUCAACACUGUCAGGUUGCCUAGGGACGCAGGGAUAUGUCCUGUUAGGUUAUUGAAGGAGAUGUCAAGUAUGGUGAGGCUAGCCAGUUCGCCGAUCUCGUGCGGUAUGUGGCCUCUGAGCUGAUUGAAGCUAAGGUCAAGGGUUGAGAGGGAUGAUAGCGAGCUGAUAUUAGGCGGUAUUGGACCACGGAGGCUAUUGUUGCCUAGAUCGAUAUAUGUGAGGAAUGGGAGAGCUGUGAAGUUGAGCUCACCAAGCUUGCCAUGGAUGCCGGCAUCUGGCAGGGAGAUGCUGGUCACGGCCCAGGGCAUGCUGCGGCCAUGGCGAACGGCCGUGCACAUGAUCCCCGUCCAGUUGCACAGGCCGCUGCUGCUGCUGCUGGUGUCCCGCCAGGAGCUCAUCUCCGCUGCUGGGUUUGCGAGCGUUGAUUUCCAGUGGAGGAGGGCCUUCUGUUGGGACAUGAGUGAUAUGCCACCAUGACGUGCUGCUGCGUGCGCUCGUUGCAAGAGAAGGGGACAUGAUGGCAAGACGAGGAGGCAAAGGCAGAGCAGGGGUGUUGAGGCAGAUCGCAUUUUGCUUUGCAUCUGGAUCUCGUGUGCUGGGGUAUGGGGGGUUAAUAUGUGGAGUAGUGUCGUACUGGAGUGCAGUUGUCCGUUGCUCUCAGGGCUUCAUUGCAGGGCCAUCAGUGGGUGGUUUCCUGGAAACACCAUGGUUCUUGACUUGUUGAGCGUCGUCUUUUUGACCCGUCUCCCUCGUUUGACAGGGCAGGAUGACAGACUGAUAGUGGCAUUUAUACGACGACGUCCUCAUACACCAGGCCGGCAGCACCAUAAGUUGGCGUGGCCAUGAGUUUGGCCACACGGUGGUGAGAAGCUGUAGCUAACUUUGGCCAACGCAUCAUCGCCAGCGAUAUUCUGUAAUCUGAACAAAUAUGUACUACUCCGUAUCUUCUGACAUCAACAGCUUAAUCUGUCCAAUGACAUGAGGUGCACAAACUAAAGGUGAUUGAUUUGUCUCAGCCCACCUCUAAGACGAUUGGUAAAGCAGAGUACUGAUAGCAUCUCCAGCCGUGGCCCCAACAAGCCCUCCCCAAACGUUUUUGCCGUGUCGACGUUCAAAAUUCGGCCCAGUCGCGCCCCCAGUAGCCCCUUUUUCGUCGGCUCGGGCCGAAACUGGUGCCGGCGGACCUAGGCCGAACCCGGCGCGCCUGGGGGCGCCGGCACAAGCGAAAAGGGGCGUGGGCCGCUCUGUCGGUGAGUCGAGAGCCUCUUCUCGCCGUUUCUUUCCGCCCUCGCCCCUCACUUUCCUCUGAUUCUCUCCUUUCCUCCCGCCAAUCUCCCUCCCGCUCGCCUCCCAGUCACCGCCAUGUCGCCGAAGAAGUACGUGAUCCCCCGCGCUGCGACCACCGCGACCGCCUCCGUCGCCCAGCCGAAGCAGAGAAAGCCGAGGGUGCCGCCGUCCAAGCCAUCGGGCAUGACAAACGUCGAGUGGAGGGCGGAAGUUCAGCGACGGGAGGCUGUCACCGCCGACCGGCGGAACAGGGCAAUCGCCAAGAAGGCCCGUGACAACGCGGCGCGUGCCGCUGCGGCUGCGGCGGACCAAGCCGAGGCCGAGGCGAUUCGCUUGGGGAUGAUGAAUCCACCAGGCGGCCACGCCCAGUACGUACCCUGGAGCCAACAAAGCGUCGGCUCUCUGUCCGGCUUCUCGUCAUCGCCGCAACCAUGGGGAUGCACGCCGUCGCCGGGCUACGUUGACGGGGACGCGCACGGUGGAUUCAACCCCAACGUCACCUUCCCCAUGGACACCCAACCCAGCGCAUGACCUCGCCCGCCUUCGCCGGCGUGCAGUACCCUCCAUACAACUACUCGCCGCCGGCUUACGCGUGCUCCCUGACGCCCCCUCUCCGCCGUGGCGCGCUGCCCUUCUCAUAAGCUUCCACGUUGCACCUCGGCGACACUGACGAGACUAACGCCGACAUGGACGACAUCAUCAUGACAGGCUCGGCCGUGGCCGCCGCGUCCCCCGGGUUCGCUACCCAAGACGACACGGUGGACCUCAGCGGUGGCAUGGACGGCGAGCUCGAGUACGGCGAGGAGGAGCCGGAGGAGCACGAGGAGGAGGAGCCGGCGACUGUCCCGGCGAGGAGGCGCAAAAAGAAGAAGGGGCGGCCAGGACCGGCGAGCCGCGCAUUAAGUGGACGUCCAAGGAACAGGAAUGCCUCGCCGAAGCGUGGAAAGUCGUCUGCCUCGACCCGACCAUCGGCACAAACCAGAGUAUCGAGACGUACCAGGAGCGCAUCAAGGCCGAGUUCGACGAGCGCAAGCUCGUCGACCCCUACUUUAAAGGCGUCUACAUGCAGCGCGAGGCGAAGGCAUGGCGAAUCAUUGGGGGCUCAUCCAGGCGGCGUGCAACAAAUGGCAUGGGAUCGUCGAGGAGAUCGCGGCUUGCCCGGAGAGCGGCGCCAACGUCGAGGAUCAGGUACGGCACGCCGGUCUCCCGCUUCUAUUCGCCGUGCGCGCCCGCCAACUGUUUGUUCCUCCGCGUAGCUGGUGCGCAUGUUCGCCUUGUAUCGCCUAGGCAACCGCGACCAAGAGUUCAAGUACCUCUAUGUUUACAAGCGCAUUGACAAGUUCGAGAAGUGGGCGGAAGUCUGGCGUGCCCUCGACAAGGCCAAGGAGACCUACAAGCCGUACGCGCCGACGGCGGGCGCGUCAGAGGGGCGGCCGGACGGAAACAAAUGGGCCAAGAAGGCGAAACACGUCGACGCGGCUACCACGCGGGUGCAGGAGUCCAUCGAGCAUUGCCUCACUGAAGCACAGGCCCGGGCCGUCCUGCAUGAAGAGAAGACCGAGGCGCGAUGGUCGGCAUUGAUGACGAGCAGCGCCGUCAAGCUCGACCUACUCCGGACCAACGUCGCCACGAAGAAGAGGAACACCGACCUGGCUUUCCUGUUGGGCGGGGCGGACAUGCUUCAGAGCAACGACGAGGCGGUCAAGGCGUGGUACUUGGCGGAGCGUGGUCUCAUCCUGAACCAGCUGCCGUCAACGGCGCCGCCAACUCCUAUGCCCACGCCGCCAAGCCCGAGCGAUGAUGCCUCCACGACUCCCCGCAGCACAGAAGCCACGCCGACGCCGCCCAGCACAGAAGAAGCUCUGACCCCGCCAAGCCCGCGCACACCGACUCCGCCGACGCCAGAGGUCGACCUCGUCGUCUGAUGCGCUGCACGCACGUCCUUUCUUUUUGAAUGCCGAACUUUUUAUUCGAUCGUCGAACUGUGGCCGCAUGAUCGCUGGAUUUUUGGCGUCUAUUUUGUGAGCGGGAAUGACUAUGUUUGAAUUUGCCGCGGGUUGGGGGGCGCCUGGGGCGUGGCUGGAAGCUAGGUCGCCCCCAGAGGCCGAUCUAGCGUCGAUUCACCUUAGGGCGCUCUUUUUCAAUGCCCUGUGGGGCUGAACGACUGGAGAUGCUUUGAGAGAAGAAUUUCAUUUUCCAAGGGCCCAGAGCACACUAGUAGAAGCUGACAGGCCGUGGCUGGGCUUUUCCAGCGCAGCAAGCAUGAAAGCCAAGGGCAGUAAGGAUGGAUGACUUCUGUGUAGUGUAGACGUGUAGUCAACACGGAAAUCUGCUUUUUCUUCUUUUCUCGGUUGUUCCCCCAAAACAUACUAUCAAUUUAUCCAACGGAUCCACCUGCAGUACGACGGUGCACGAUGCCAGCUCACCCGUGAUUUCGCAUAUGCUUCCUUUGAAAUUAGUUGUGCUAUUUUUUCUCAUCCCACAGUUGGCCGUUUGGGGAAGAUAUCACAUAAUACCAUGAUGAGAGCUGCUAUACGUACUAUCAAAUCAAAAUCACUAAUUAAGGAGUAAUUGAAAUCACUAAUUAAGGAAUACUCGUUGCAAAGAACACUUCAUUUUUCUAGGUCAUGACAAGUGACGCAUAUGCAGCACGCCACUUGUCGCAAUCCGGGAGUUUUCCCUUUUUUCGUAGAUUUGUUUAUUCAAAACGUUUUAUCUCUUAAACCAUGCGUCCAAAUCUUGAACCGUUUUCACCAUUGGAUUCCUCGCGUCGAGAUCUUCAAACUAGAUCCCAUGUUGAUAGAUAUUGACAAAAUUUUUUUUCACGAAAAAACCCAGUGAAAAAACUGAACCGGGAGCACGGUUUUUUCCCUUUCCGAAAGAGGCACGCCCGUGCCUCUCGCAAAAUCACAACCGUGCCUCUCGCGAAAGCAAAACCGUGACUCUCGUGUAAGGAAAAAAAACGGAAAACGCGUUUUUUUUUCUGUUUUCCGAGAGGCACGACCUUGACUCUCGCGAAAGCACAACCGUGCCUCUCGAGAAAGAAAAAAAACAGAAAACACGUAUUUUUUCCCUUUCUGAGAGGCACGGUCGUGACUUUCGCGUAAGCACAACCGUGCCUCUCACGGAAGCAAAACCGUGACUCUCACGAACGAAAAAAAAA